GCCGCUCUGGGAUGGGCCUGCGGCCCAUUAGCUUGUUGGUGAGGUAAUGGCUCACCAAGGCGACGAUGGGUAGCUGGUCUGAGAGGAUGUCCAGCCACACUGGGACUGAGACAUGGUCCAGACUCCUACGGGAGUUAGCAUCGGGGGAUAUUGCGCAAUGGGCGAAAGCCCGACGCAGUGACGCCGCGUGCAGGAUGAAGGCCCUAGGGUCGUAAACUGCUGUCGGGUGGGAUGAACGCCGGGGGUGACGCCUCGGUUUGACAAUACCACCCAAGAAAGCCCCAGCUAACUACGUGCCAGCAGCUGCGGUAAUACGUAGGGGGCAAGCGUUGUCCGGAAUUACUGGGCGUAAAGGGCGUCUAGGCGGCUUAGUAAGCGGAAUGUGAAAGCCCAGGGCUCAACCCUGGAACGCCGUUCCGAACUACUAGGCUUGAGUUCGGGAGAGGGCAGUGGAAUUCCCGGUGUAGCGGUGAAAUGUUUAGAUAUCGGGAGGAACACCAGUGGCGAAGGCGGCUGCCUGGACCGAUACUGACGCUGAAGCGCGAAAGCCAGGGGAGCGAACGGGAUUAGAUACCCCGGUAGUCCUGGCUGUAAACGAUGAACACUAGGUGUUGGGGGCAUCAACCCUUCCAGUGCCGAAGCAAACGCAUUAAGUGUUCCGCCUGGGGAGUACGGCCGCAAGGUUAAAACUCAAAGGAAUUGACGGGGCCCCGCACAAGCGGUGGAGCAUGUUGCUUAAUUCGACGCAACGCGAAGAACCUUACCAGGCCUUGACAUCCAGGGAAUCCUCCCGAAACGGAGGAGUGCCCUUCGGGGAACCCUGAGACAGGUGGUGCAUGGCUGUCGUCAGCUCGUGUCGUGAGAUGUUGGGUUAAGUCCCGCAACGAGCGCAACCCUUAUCGACUGUUGCCAGCGGGUAAUGCCGGGGACUCUGUCGAAACUGCCCGAGCAAUCGGCCGGAAGGUGAGGAUGACGUCAAGUCAGCAUGCCCCUUAUGGCCUGGGCUGCAAACAUGCUACAAUGGACGGUACAAAGGGCAGCGAGACCGCGAGGUGGAGCAAAUCCCACAAAGCCGUCCUCAGUUCGGAUUGAAGUCUGCAACUCGACUUCAUGAAGUUGGAAUCGCUAGUAACCGUAGAUCAGCACCGCCGCGGUGAUACGUUCCCGGGGCUUGUACACACCGCCCGUCACAUCAUGGAAGCCGGCUACACCCGAAGUCCGUGCGCU
Molecule: ribosomal RNA, 1227 nt
Filed under: uncultured organism
Description: bacterial SSU rRNA
Rfam family: Bacterial small subunit ribosomal RNA
Source: RNAcentral